AGAUUCUAUAAGCCCACUUGCUUUGACAAUUAUGAUUGACUUGUAUGGAAUUUUUACAUGAGACCGGUGUCACUGGAAAGGCUAUCUCAUUAGUUUUCCAUACACAUGUAAUCUGGACGCCAAUUUAGUGCUAGCUGCUAGUAGAGUCUGAUGUAGACUCAAACUUGGUAUGGACUAAGCGUUCAACAUGGCUUAGAUGCCCACGACUGGUCCUCUAAGGAGGUGGCCAAGGGGUAGGAUGUAUAAAAAGUUACAUGGGGCGUUCUCCAUCUAAUUGGGGUGUUUUUCAAUUUGAAAAAGUCUAUAUAACCCCCAAACUAUCUAGGGUGGACUACUUCACCCCCUGAACUAUAAAACCAGAUUUUCUACCCCCUGAACUUUUAAAACCGGUCAAAUAACCCCUUGGAGUGGUUCUGGAUGGUGGUUUUGUCUUUUAUUUAUUUAUUUCCGCUAAAUCUUUAAAAAAUCAUAAAAAAUCAUAAAAAAUCAUAAAAUAAAAAAAUUCAAUUUUGUUGGACUCCUGAUGAGUAGACCUACAC
Molecule: long non-coding RNA, 539 nt
Filed under: Sorghum bicolor (sorghum)
Lineage: Eukaryota; Viridiplantae; Streptophyta; Magnoliopsida; Poales; Poaceae
Description: long non-coding RNA (SBIC_LNC000241)
Source: RNAcentral